Molecule: ribosomal RNA, 400 nt
Filed under: uncultured bacterium
Lineage: Bacteria
Description: bacterial SSU rRNA
Rfam family: Bacterial small subunit ribosomal RNA
Source: RNAcentral
UAAGGAAUAUUGGACAAUGGGGGCAACCCUGAUCCAGCCAUGCCGCGUGAGUGAAGAAGGCCUUAGGGUUGUAAAACUCUUUCAAUCGUGAAGAUAAUGACUGUAGCGAUAUAAGAAGCCCCGGCUAACUCCGUGCCAGCAGCCGCGGUAAUACGGAGGGGGCGAGCGUUAUUCGGAAUCACUGGGCGUAAAGCGUACGUAGGCGGCUUAGCAAGUCAGGAGUGAAAUCCCCGGGCUCAACCCGGGAAUUGCUUUUGAAACUGCUUUGCUGGAAUAUCGGAGAGGUCAGGAGAAUUCCUAGUGUAGAGGUAAAAUUCGUAGAUAUUAGGAGGAAUACCAGUGGCGUAGGCGCCUGACUGGACGAUUAUUGACGCUGAGGUACGAAAGCGUGGGGAGCAAA